UUAUCUCAUUAUAUAUAAUGGUUGUGUUACAAUAUGUACCAUAUACGUACAUAGGUACAGAAGCUAUACAUAGUCUAACACACUCCCUCAAUCUUAGCCACUUUCUAAAGAACUGAGAAGGGUAAGAUUGCGCCUACAAGCCUCAAACUGUGGCAGCGGUAAAGGCUUAGUGAAGAUGUCUGCAAGUUGAUCCUUAGAUGAGAUAAACUUGAUCUGGAGUUGCUUCUGUGAUACACGUUCCCGUACAAAGUGAUAGUCAACUUCAAUGUGUUUCAUUCGGGCAUGAAAUACUGGAUUUGCAGAAAGGUAUGUAGCACCGAUGUUAUCACACCAAAGAAUAGGAGGCUGUGGUUGAGACAAACCCAACUCCUGAAGCAAAGACUGCACCCAAAUAAUCUCUGCAGUAGCAUUAGCCACAGCCUUGUACUCAGCUUCAGUACUGCUACGUGACACAGUAGCCUGUUUCCGAGCACUCCAGGUGAUCAAAUUAGAGCCAAAGAAUACUGCAUAACCCCCCGUGGAUCGCCUGUCAUCUGGGCUACCAGCCCAAUCUGCAUCAGAGAAGGCCGAAAGGACCCGAGAGGAAGUCGGUCGAAUAUGCAUACCAAAUGUCAGGGUGAACUGAACAUAACGAAGAAUGCGUUUAACAGCAGCCCAAUGAGUAUCUCUGGGAGCCUGAAGAUACUGACAAACCCUGUUAACAGCAUAAGAGAUAUCUGGUCUCGUGAUCGUCAAGUACUGAAGUCCACCAACAAUGCUCCUGUACUCUGUGGCAUCCGCAGGAGACAAAAGCUCACCAUCAACAGCUGUUAUCUUGUCGGUAGACGACAUGGGUGUGGUGGUCGGUUUGCACUUCAGCAUGCCAGCUCUCUGUAACAACUCCAAGGAGUACUUCUUCUGCGUAAGGACAAGACCAGUAGCACGAGAAGUGACCUCAACUCCAAGAAAGUAGUGAAGCUUCCCAAGAUCUUUGACCGCAAAAUCAGCACCAAGAGAGCAGACAAGAGCAUCAGCAGCAUACUGAGAAGAGCUGACAAGGAUAAUAUCAUGACAUAUACCAAAAGAUACAUAGUGACUUCUGGCUUCUGUAGAAGAAAUAACGAAGUGUCAGCAGUAGACGGCACAAACCCAUGAGCACGAAGGGCAGAGGCAAGGCGGGCAUGCCAGGCACGAGGAGCUUGCUUCAAACCAUAUAGUGCUUUGGAAAGACGACAGAUAUAGUCAGGACGAUCAGGAUCAGAGAAACCAGGCGGCUGUUUCAUAUAAACCUCUUCCUCCAAAAAUCCAUGUAGAAAAGCAUUCUGCACAUCAAGUUGACGAAGUGACCAACCACGAGAAACAGCAAUGGAGAGAAGAAGCCGAAUAGUGGUAGGCUUGACGACAGGACUGAAGGUGUCCUCAUAGUCAAGACCAUGACGCUGCUGAAAACCGCGAGCAACAAGUCGCGCUUUGUAACGCUCAAUAGAUCCAUCCGAAUGCUUCUUCACUUUGAAUACCCAUUUUGAGUCAAUAACAUUUACCCGUGGUGGUGGAGGAACGAGAGUCCAUGUCUUGUUACGAAGAAGAGCAUGAAACUCCUGCUCCAUAGCCUCUCGCCAAUGUGGAAUGCGCAGGGCAGCCUGAUAUGAGCGAGGCUCAGAAGAUGGAUCCGCAACAGCAGCAGCCAAACAAGCAGCCAACCAAUCAACCGUACCAUCCUUACGUUCCUUAGGUUUGAAAAUGCCACUGCGACUGCGUGUAUGUGGUCGGGACACAGGAACCACCGAGGUCGACGGAGCAGCCUGCAACGGGCUGGAGGACGGCGACGUUGACGAGUCAGCCGGUGACGAGGAGCCAGUCAUGGUAGCCUCGGACUCGGUUGGCGAAGAAGGCCGACCCACCGGCGAAACCGGCAGAGCAGACGAAGCAGCUGGCGACUCCGGCAUCACAGACCGGGCCGAUGGCGAGCUCGGCAUAGUGGGCCGUGGCGCGGCCGGUGUCGCGGGCCGAUCCGCUGAUGAAGGCGACGUGAGGACCCGAGCCGCGGGCGAAGACGGCGUGACGGGCCGAGCCGCAGGCGAAGACGGCGUGACGGGCCGAGCCGCGGGCGACUCGGCGGCCGCUGGCGAAACGGACCGAGCAGUGGAGAUGCUCGGCGCGACGGGCUUGUCGGGUGACCAUGCAUGGGCACGCGAAUCGAUGCCAUGCAACAUAGGGCGAUCGACGUGCCCACCAGAAGACGACGAUGAUGAUGGUGAAUCCUCCAACAGCUCCAAACGAGCUCCACGUCCGGUUCCUGCACCAUGGUUAGGUAACAGCAAAGGAGAGUAUGCAACAUCAUCAAAUUGGUCAGAAGCAACAGAGGAUGAAUGCAGGGAUGAUGGUUCGACAGUGGACACAGGAAGGUUGGCAAAGGGAAAAACAUGCUCAUCAAACACGACGUCCCGAGAUAUAUAGACACGAUUAGUGGGAACAUGAAGACAUUUGUAACCUUUAUGAAGAGAGCUAUAGCCAAGAAAAACACACUUCUUAGAACGAAACUCAAGCUUGCGCUUGUUAUAUGGACGAAGAUGCGGCCAGCAAGCACACCCAAAUACCUUGAGAAAGGUAUAAUCAGGUUGUUCAUUAAGGAGAACCUCAAUGGGAGUCUUCAUGUUUAAAACACGAGUAGGAGUACGGUUGAUGAGAAAGCAUGCAGUGGUGAAAGCAUCACUCCAAAACCGAAACGGAACAAAUGCAUGGGCCAAAAGAGUAAGACCAGCUUCAACAAUAUGACGAUGCUUACGUUCGACUGAACCAUUCUGCUGAUGUGUAUGUGGACAUGCUAAACGAUGAGCUAUCCCAAGCGACUGAAAGAAAGAGUUGAGGUUGCGAUACUCGCCCCCCCCCAGUCUGACUGGACAUGAACAAUUUUGUGCUUGAGAAGACGUUCAACAUGUUUUUGAAACUGAACAAAAAUAUCAAACACAUCAGAUUUGCGUUUAAUAAGGUAAAGCCAGGUAAAGCGACUAUAAGCAUCAACGAAACUGAUAUAGUAAUUAUGACCACUGACAGAAGUCUGAGCAGGACCCCAUACAUCUGAAAACACAAGUUCUAAAGGAUGUUUCACCUCUCGACUGGACUCCGAAAAAGGAAGUUGAUGACUCUUCCCCUGCUGACAAGCAUCACACACUGCUACAUCUUUAUGACUAGACAAACUAGGAAGCUCAUGACGACGCAAAAUAUGACGGACAAUAGGUGUGGCCGGGUGACCAAGACGAGCAUGCCACUGUGACGGAGAGACCCGAACUCCACUGAAAACACGAGCGACACCAGGAUGCUCCAGACGGUAGAGGCCCUGGCACAACCGCCCACUAAGAAGAAUGUCCCUCGUGCCCCGAUCCUUAAUAAAAAGAUCAAAAGGGUGAAAUUCACAAAGCACAUUAUUAUCACGUGUGAGUUUAGGAACUGAAAGAAGAUUACGGGUCACAGAUGGAACUCGAAGAACAUUGCGAAGCUGAAGACUCCUAUUGGCAUGUCUAGUGAGAAGAGAUGCUUGACCAAUAUGAGAGAUGUGCAUACCUGCUCCAUUGGCGGUGUGGAUCUUGUCGGAGCCAUGAUAGGGUUCACGAGUGUGAAGCUUUCCCAUCUCGCUGGUUAGAUGCUCUGUCGCCCCAGAGUCCAUGUACCAGUGUGGAUCGAUGGAGUAGGACUGAGUGUGUCCCUGUUGCUUCUGCGGCGCGGGACGAUUAGCCAUGGCGACCUGACGGGCAUUGUUGCGUGUAUCUUUGCCGUCAUUGCCAAGACCAAGGAAGCUUCGCUGGAAGCGCUUAUGACACUUGGAGGCCCAGUGCCCAUCGCGGCCACAAAGCUGACACACACGUGGACCGCCAGCCCCCGGUAAGGUCGCAGUAGGUGGGGGGGCCGAGGCGGGCGACGGUGGCAGCCCCAAGGGAGACCGGGGUGAUGAAGAAGAGCGGCCACCCUUGGUGGCGGCGUUGGCCGAGAGGGAGCCAGUGCCCCUGGUGCGGCGAGUCUCGACCCGUUGCUCAGUGAGAAGAAGCCGAGAGAAAACCUCGUGUGCCAGCAUGGGUGUCGAGUUGCCCCGCUCGUUGAUGAUCUCGACUAAGGCAUCAUACUCCUCAUCAAGACCAUUGACAAUAAACGAGUUGAACUCGGAGUCGGUGAGGGGCUGUCCAAUGGAGGCCAAUGUGUCGGCGAGGCCCUUGACCUUGUUGUAGAACUCAGUGGCAGUGGAGUCAAACUUCUGACACUCUCCAAGCUGACGACGGAGUGCAGAGACACGAGCCUGGGACUGCGCUGCAAAGGUGCGCUCAAGGAUGGUCCAGGCCUCAUGAGACGUCUUCGCGAAGACAACAAGGCCGGCAACUGCCGGCGAGAGCGACCCCUGGAUGGAGGAGAGGUUCGCCUGGUCCUGCCCCGUCCAGACGCGAUGGGCCGGAUUGUAGACCGGACCGUGCACGCUGUCUACCAGCGCGGGUGGGCAGGGAAGCGAUCCGUCGACGUAGCCUAGUAGGUAGUGACUCCCCAAGAGCGGGAGAACCUGCGCACGCCAGAAGAUGUAGUUGUCGGCGGAGAGCUUGAUGGUGAUGAGAUGACCGAAGUGAAACGGCGGCGGUGAAGACAAUCCCAUCGAGGAGGCUGCCUGGGGUGCAAACACCAUGGAGGCAGCCGGAGGCACCGAAGCCGAUGCGGGAGGAGGCGGGACAGCAGCCAGGGCGGGCGCCGCAAAGCUCGCGGCCGGUGCGGACGCCGCAAGGCCCGCGGCCGGGGCGGACGCCGCCAACCCCGCCAGCGGGGCAGUGUGAUNNNNNNNNNNNNNNNNNNNNNNNNNNNNNNNNNNNNNNNNNNNNNNNNNNNNNNNNNNNNNNNNNNNNNNNNNNNNNNNNNNNNNNNNNNNNNNNNNNNNNNNNNNNNNNNNNNNNNNNNNNNNNNNNNNNNNNNNNNNNNNNNNNNNNNNNNNNNNNNNNNNNNNNNNNNNNNNNNNNNNNNNNNNNNNNNNNNNNNNNNNNNNNNNNNNNNNNNNNNNNNNNNNNNNNNNNNNNNNNNNNNNNNNNNNNNNNNNNNNNNNNNNNUGCGGGAGGAGGCGGGACCGCAGCCAGGGCGGGCGCCGCAAAGCUCGCGGCCGGUGCGGACGCCGCAAGGCCCGCGGCCGGGGCGGACGCCGCCAACCCCGCCAGCGGGGCAGUGUGAUCCGCUUGCGGCAGGAGCGGCGGGACGACGCCUGCGGAGUCCGCAGCGGACGGCGGCGCCGCGGUGUGGACCACGAGGUCACGCCCAAGCGAGGGCGCCAGCGGCGUGGAGAAGACGGAGCCGAUGCUCCUUGUCCCGAUCGGAGCCGGAACAAAGACGGCAUCGAGCGGGAGGUUGAGCAGAGCCGCAAGAGAGGCCGGGAGGAAGCCCGCAGCAGUGAAACCGGUGGUGGCGCCGCUCGACAUGGCGGCGGCGCGAUUGGUGGCGCGGCGGCGGCGGUGAAGGCGGCGGCAGCUGCGGCGGCGGUGCGGGUAUUAGGGUUUAGAAGCGGAAGCGAUCGUAACCGAGCGUGAUACCAUGUAAGACAAUAAGUUUUGGGGAAUCAGCACAAUCCUCUAAGGGUGGCUUAUCUCAUUAUAUAUAAUGGUUGUGUUACAAUAUGUACCAUAUACGUACAUAGGUACAGAAGCUAUACAUAGUCUAACAAGGUACAAGAAUCACACGACCUGGAGGCUGGGCUCGGCCGGCUUGUCGCCGGCCUCCUCCUCCAGUGACGCGAGCCACUGGAGCAGCGCCGCGUUGAACUGCUCCGGCGCCUCGUCGUGCGGGCAGUGCCCGGCCUGCAGGUUGACGACGGUGGAGUUGGCGUAGAACUCGUGGAUCCGCGCCGCCUUGGACGGGCCGACCCACGGGUCCAGGUCCCCCCACAGCAGCAGCAGCGGGCACGUCAGCUUCCCCAGCAGCUUGUCCAGCGUGUACUGGCUCUGGUUCGCCACGAACCGCGACAUGAGCCUGUAGUACACCUCGCCGGCGUUCGGGUCGGCCGUUGGCGCCGUGAUCGAGCUGAUCAGGUACUCGUCCACGUUGCUCGGAUCUUUGUACACCUG
RNAcentral lists this long non-coding RNA (6059 nucleotides) under Triticum aestivum (bread wheat). RNAcentral's name for it is "long non-coding RNA (TAES_LNC012265)". The record is from RNAcentral. Lineage: Eukaryota; Viridiplantae; Streptophyta; Magnoliopsida; Poales; Poaceae.